AUUGAACGCUGGCGGCAGGCCUAACACAUGCAAGUCGAGCGGUAGAGAGAAGCUUGCUUCUCUUGAGAGCGGCGGACGGGUGAGUAAUGCCUAGGAAUCUGCUUGGUAGUGGGGGAUAACGUUCGGAAACGGACGCUAAUACCGCAUACGUCCUACGGGAGAAAGCAGGGGACCUUCGGGCCUUGCGCUAUCAGAUGAGCCUAGGUCGGAUUAGCUAGUUGGUAAGGUAAUGGCUCACCAAGGCGACGAUCCGUAACUGGUCUGAGAGGAUGAUCAGUCACACUGGAACUGAGACACGGUCCAGACUCCUACGGGAGGCAGCAGUGGGGAAUAUUGGACAAUGGGCGAAAGCCUGAUCCAGCCAUGCCGCGUGUGUGAAGAAGGUCUUCGGAUUGUAAAGCACUUUAAGUUGGGAGGAAGGGUUGUAGAUUAAUACUCUGCAAUUUUGACGUUACCGACAGAAUAAGCACCGGCUAACUCUGUGCCAGCCGCCGCGGUAA
RNAcentral lists this ribosomal RNA (500 nucleotides) under uncultured bacterium. RNAcentral's name for it is "partial 16S ribosomal RNA". It matches the Rfam family "Bacterial small subunit ribosomal RNA", at positions 30 to 523 of the family's 1533-position model. The record is from RNAcentral.